This is a long non-coding RNA of Mercenaria mercenaria, 262 nucleotides long. RefSeq lists it as uncharacterized. NCBI's taxonomy places the organism in Eukaryota, Metazoa, Mollusca, Bivalvia, Venerida, Veneridae. The transcript is spliced from 4 exons. The record is from RefSeq and is a predicted model, not a curated record.
AGCUGAUUAAUUGCAAGAUGAAACUUUUACUAGCCGCCAUUGUUUCCCUCUUCUUAUUGCAGACUUUGGGUAUACCAUUAUCAACAAACACAAGAUAUAUGACUAUAGAUCAACAGUUGGAAUGUUAUACUGCGGUUCAGUUGGGUGGAAUGUGGAAUCUUGUAACAAAACUUCAAUAUGUCCGCCAAAUAACGCAUGUUUCCUAUCAUUCAGUACUACAGGUAUGAGUGGAAAUUAUAAUCUCAGUUGCAUAGAUAACAAG